ACAAUAAACAAAAGUGUGUGUGUGUGUGUAUGGCAAAUACAUGGUGGGGCGAAUGGCGGCAUCCAUUGCGAAAUGGUUCGUGAAACGUGACUUGUUGAGACUGAAUUGAAUUGGGCUCGUACAACAGACAGACGAGUCGCGGACGUCGGCAGGCGCGGCGCUGGGACCUAGAGCCGAAUGUAUCUCUUGAGUACAUAGGCAUGCCGCAGUGAAACUGAUCACCUACAGAACCGCACUAAACACAACAAAGGUGUGCAUGGUUCGAAAGGCCCUUCGUUACCGAGGGACGUAGGUACUCAAGAUGUAAAAAUACAAAAAGUUUCCAUCAAAGGGAUUCCUUGAAGCUGCGAUCCUUGCUCCUUGGCUCAAAGAUAAAGUGAUUAAUGUAGCACCCGCGAUUAUAUCUCCAACACGAUAACCGGCGGUGCCCCUCUACGAGCCAUUUUAUACUCUACCCAUAUCGCUUUAAAGGUUAACUUUGAGCGAUACCCGAAUACGUGUGAUUGAUGCUGACAUAUACAUAAAUAUACUAUUUGCGAUGUCGUCGACUA
Molecule: long non-coding RNA, 551 nt
Organism: Bombyx mori (domestic silkworm)
Lineage: Eukaryota; Metazoa; Arthropoda; Insecta; Lepidoptera; Bombycidae
Exons: 2
Source: RefSeq, a predicted model, not a curated record